Molecule: long non-coding RNA, 225 nt
Filed under: Homo sapiens (human)
Lineage: Eukaryota; Metazoa; Chordata; Mammalia; Primates; Hominidae
Description: HSALNT0014254
Source: RNAcentral
CUGGAGGCUCUGGGCAACCCUCACAGCCCCAUCUUUCUUAAGCUGGAAGGCGAUGACUUUUCCUCGAUGUCUAAAUCGAGGAGCCCCAGAGAGAAACAGGCGGCGUCCACCCCGCAAAAGCAUGGAAGAAACAGAGUAACCUGAGGUUCUUUGCUGCUCUCACCACUUCUUCCUUCGUUCGGAAAUCUCCCAGGGACCACUCAUGUACAGGGCUCUCCCCAUACU